UUUAGCUCAGCUGGGAGAGCAUCUGCCUUACAAGCAGAGGGUCAGCGGUUCGAUCCCGUUAA
RNAcentral lists this transfer RNA (62 nucleotides) under Streptococcus pneumoniae. RNAcentral describes it as "tRNA-Val". It matches the Rfam family "tRNA", at positions 6 to 65 of the family's 71-position model. Rfam says of the family: Transfer RNA (tRNA) molecules are approximately 80 nucleotides in length. Their secondary structure includes four short double-helical elements and three loops (D, anti-codon, and T loops). The record is from RNAcentral. Lineage: Bacteria; Bacillati; Bacillota; Bacilli; Lactobacillales; Streptococcaceae. RNAcentral also lists the same sequence under 1 other name.